AGCGUUCAGAUGUGGACCAUUCGCGGCAUCCAUAUACUGUCAGCGACAUGAUGCGCUCGUUCAGAAUCUGAAGUUGAGGAACAUGACGCUUUUAAAAAGAGGACAGGAUCAGUCAGCUCUUUUAUCUUCCGUCGAGUUUAAGCAUUAAUUGAAUUGGCCCUGCUGCUUCCAUGACACACAACCAGGCAGGAGAAUAUAUGAGGAUCGACGGAUAUGUCAAUGUCAUUUAAAGAGGAUGAUUUUCUCUGAUGAAGAUGCCCGUCCUGUUCUGAAAAAGGAUGGUAGGAGGAGAAAGCUCCGUUCGCAGGGGUUUCCCUCCCCGGCACUCUGUUGUGCUUGCGGUCUCUGUAUCAUGCUGGCAGGCAUUAAUAUCACCCUGGUAGGCGCUCUUGCCUUUAACAAACUCCUCCCCUUCAACAAUCCUCCCAUCAUUAUCGGACCCAUCCUCCUACUGGUGGCCUUUUCAUUUUUUGGCAUGUGUUGCAUCUAUAGCCGUCGCCCCAUUGCCCCUCCCUCUCGUAUGUCUGCGGGAGGGGACCGCUGGCCAUCAAUGAGGAUGGAGAUGGAGAAUAGUGAACCCACACUUCAGGAUACCACGGCCAUCCAACUCAGUCCAACAAACUCUCCAAGCCCCUCCUGCCGCUGCAGCCCCACCCACCUUCCUGUUGCACUGCCCAGGGGACAGAACACCAUUGAUGAAUCAGACUCAUAGUUUGGGCCCUGCAAGACUGCGCAGCUUGAAGGAGAGCUAACGCCUGUCUGAUCUGGAAUCAAAAUUAUAUUUCUUGACAUGCAUGGGCAGACGUGCAGCUAAUCAGACGGGGCAAAUUAUUUUACAGGGGCAGUAAUAAAUUCUGUUCAGCAUCAUGAGCUUGCAGUGUCAGUCCUGCCUUUGGAGGAAGAAUUUGGUGUUAAAAUGAGAAAAACGUUGAAUGACUAAUUAUCUCAGAAAUGAAAGGAAGACUGGCUAAUAUAGGAUUAUCACGGGAUCCAUUCUAAACCAUUUGAUCUAACAAACUCAUCCUUUUGUCUGACAAAGCAAAUUGAAUGUGAUCUGAAAUGUGUCACUUAGAAAUCGAAAAUCAGGAACAAUUUGGGCUGAUAGGUGAGAAAUUCAGUUCACCUGGAAAAAUGUGAGAAAUUGCUAAGGAAAUGAGUUUUGUACAAUUCUACAGUUGUAACUUUUUAGGAAAAAUGUUACAUUUCAUAUUACAUUUAUGCCAUAUUGAUAAUUUAGUGGCCAUGAAAGACUUUCUCUAACAUAAAGAUAUUGUGUGAUUUUGUAAAUUUUCUGGUUGUUUUUAAAGAAUAAAAAUGGUAAUAUUGCUGUACUUAUUACUAUGUACAGUAUAGUGUGACCUAUGAAAUACGCUAAUAUCAAGUAAAUAAAGUAACAUAAUAAAAUAAUUU
This is a long non-coding RNA of Triplophysa rosa, 1410 nucleotides long. RefSeq lists it as uncharacterized. The transcript has 3 exons. NCBI's taxonomy places the organism in Eukaryota, Metazoa, Chordata, Actinopteri, Cypriniformes, Nemacheilidae. The record is from RefSeq and is a predicted model, not a curated record.